UACGUAGGCAGCAAGCGUUGUUCGGAAUUACUGGGCGUAAAGAGUGUGUAGGCGGUGCUCUAAGUCUGUUGUGAAAUCUCCCGGCUUAACUGGGAGGGUGCGGCGGAAACUGGUGUGCUUGAGGGUGGGAGAGGUAAGCGGAAUUCCUGGUGUAGCGGUGAAAUGCGUAGAUAUCUGGAGGAACACCGGUGGCGAAGGCGGCAUCCUGGACCGGCAUUGACGCUGAGGCGCGAAAGCCAGGGGAGCAAACGGG
Molecule: ribosomal RNA, 253 nt
Filed under: uncultured bacterium
Lineage: Bacteria
Description: partial 16S ribosomal RNA
Rfam family: Bacterial small subunit ribosomal RNA
Source: RNAcentral